Molecule: non-coding RNA, 24 nt
Filed under: Cricetulus griseus (Chinese hamster)
Lineage: Eukaryota; Metazoa; Chordata; Mammalia; Rodentia; Cricetidae
Source: RNAcentral
UGAGGACCAAGGGCUAUGUAUAAU